This 599-nucleotide ribosomal RNA is filed under the name uncultured Gibellulopsis. Its description in RNAcentral is "eukaryotic LSU rRNA". The stretch from base 212 to 365 matches the Rfam family "5.8S ribosomal RNA". Lineage: Eukaryota; Fungi; Ascomycota; Sordariomycetes; Hypocreales; Hypocreaceae. The record is from RNAcentral.
UCUUGGUCAUUUAGAGGAAGUAAAAGUCGUAACAAGGUCUCCGUUGGUGAACCAGCGGAGGGAUCAUUACCGAGUACUAUAACUCAUAACCCUUUGUGAACCUUCAUACCUGUUGCUUCGGCGGCGCGCCUCUCGGGGCGUGCCCGCCGGCAUUAUCAGAAUCUCUGUUCGAACCCGACGAUACUUCUGAGUGUUCUAAGCGAACUGUUAAAACUUUCAACAACGGAUCUCUUGGCUCCAGCAUCGAUGAAGAACGCAGCGAAACGCGAUAUGUAAUGUGAAUUGCAGAAUUCAGUGAAUCAUCGAGUCUUUGAACGCACAUGGCGCCUUCCAGUAUCCUGGGAGGCAUGCCUGUCCGAGCGUCGUUUCAACCCUCGAGCCCCCGUGGCCCGGCGUUGGGGACCUGCCCAGGCAGUCCCCGAAAACCAGUGGCGGACCCGACGGGCCCUUCCUUUGCGUAGUAACAUCUGCCUCGCAUCGGGAGCCCCCGGGCUAUCCGGCCUCUAAACCCCCCUCAAGCCCGCUCCGGCGGCACCAAGGUUGACCUCGGAUCAGGUAGGAAUACCCGCUGAACUUAAGCAUAUCAAUAAGCGGAGGAA